Molecule: ribosomal RNA, 253 nt
Filed under: uncultured bacterium
Lineage: Bacteria
Description: partial 16S ribosomal RNA
Rfam family: Bacterial small subunit ribosomal RNA
Source: RNAcentral
UACGUAGGGACCGAGCGUUGUCCGGAUUCAUUGGGCGUAAAGCGCUCGUAGGCGGCUACUCAAGUCGGAUGUGAAACCUCGAGGCUUAACCUCGAGCCUGCAUUCGAUACUGGGUGGCUAGAGUCUGGUAGGGGGAUCUGGAAUUCCUGGUGUAGCGGUGGAAUGCGCAGAUAUCAGGAGGAACACCGGUGGCGAAGGCGGGAUCCUGGGCCAGUACUGACGCUGAGGAGCGAAAGCGUGGGGAGCAAACAGG